GUUUGUGGGUCUUGAGGGUUCUAUUUGGUGGUGAUUGUGAAGCAGUUCUUAUCAGUAGUCAUUGCGAAGUUUGAGAGCUGGGAAAUUGGAAUUAUUUUUCAAGUUGUGAGCAUUGUGGAACCUGGAAGUUUUACUUGUUGAUUGGUUAACUUUUGGCAUUUUGCAUUUGGAGUAGUUGACUCUUUGGUUAUUUAGUGAAUGAGAGUUGUGCAUUGGGUGAUAUUU
RNAcentral lists this unclassified non-coding RNA (225 nucleotides) under Hevea brasiliensis (rubber tree). Lineage: Eukaryota; Viridiplantae; Streptophyta; Magnoliopsida; Malpighiales; Euphorbiaceae. The record is from RNAcentral.